UGUCUUUCUUCAGCUAAUUUUUUUUUACAUUCCGUUUUUUUUCUCUCUUAUCAAUAUCCAUUUGAGAAGUAGAAGAAUUUUUCAUUUUUGUAUAGCCAUGGAUUCCGAGAACUUCAAGAUAAAAACGUUGUUUUUCGGAAGCUCAAAUCUAAGCCUGAAAAUAAGAUGUGUUUUGAUUGUAAUGCUAAGAAUCCAACUUGGGCAUCGGUGACGUAUGAGAUCUUCUUGUGUAUGGAUUGCUCCGUUGUUCAUCGCCACCUUGGUGUUCAUAUCAAUUUUGUUGGUCAAGAAAUACCGUUUCCGACGAUGGGUGGGAUGGUGGCUUCAAUUGGACUCGCCGAUUUUGGCGUUUUCUGAUGAAUUUUCGAUGGAGGAAGGGUCUAUCCGGUGAAUUUCACCGUGACAGUGACCAACAACGACAGUAAUGAUGUUUUACUGGCGAGUAUUAGCCUGGACCAUUCAUGUAUUCAUAAAAUAGAUAUGUAUAUAAUGUAAUAUAAGUAUAAUAUGUAUUCUAUAAAUACAAAUUGCUACUAUUUUGAAAUGUAAAGUAUAUACAUGUCACAGUUUAGAUAUGUUUUUAUGAAUACAUAUUGCUAAGAUUUGUAUUUAUGUUAAGUUGUAUUUGUUAUUCAUUAGAUUUACUUCUUUCUUCUUGAUAAGCAUGAUUUUUGUACCAGUUAUGUAUAAAUAAAAUACAUAUGUAUUUGAUUU
Molecule: long non-coding RNA, 714 nt
Organism: Capsicum annuum
Lineage: Eukaryota; Viridiplantae; Streptophyta; Magnoliopsida; Solanales; Solanaceae
Exons: 3
Source: RefSeq, a predicted model, not a curated record